RNAcentral lists this ribosomal RNA (253 nucleotides) under uncultured bacterium. RNAcentral describes it as "partial 16S ribosomal RNA". It matches the Rfam family "Bacterial small subunit ribosomal RNA", at positions 524 to 776 of the family's 1533-position model. The record is from RNAcentral.
UACGGAGGGGGCUAGCGUUGUUCGGAAUUACUGGGCGUAAAGCGCACGUAGGCGGCUAUUUAAGUCAGGGGUGAAAUCCCGGGGCUCAACCCCGGAACUGCCUUUGAUACUGGGUAUCUGGAGGUCGAGAGAGGCGAGUGGAAUUCCGAGUGUAGAGGUGAAAUUCGUAGAUAUUCGGAGGAACACCAGUGGCGAAGGCGGCUCGCUGGCUCGAUACUGACGCUGAGGUGCGAAAGCGUGGGGAGCAAACAGG